This 70-nucleotide transfer RNA is filed under the name Bacteroides fragilis str. DS-71. RNAcentral's name for it is "partial tRNA-Val". It matches the Rfam family "tRNA", at positions 9 to 71 of the family's 71-position model. From Rfam's summary of the family: Transfer RNA (tRNA) molecules are approximately 80 nucleotides in length. Lineage: Bacteria; Pseudomonadati; Bacteroidota; Bacteroidia; Bacteroidales; Bacteroidaceae. The record is from RNAcentral.
AGCUCAGCUGGUUCAGAGCAUCUGCCUUACAAGCAGAGGGUCGGCGGUUCGAAUCCGUCAACGCCCACAA